GAUGAACGCUGGCGGCGUGCCUAAUACAUGCAAGUCGAGCGAACAGAUGAGGAGCUUGCUCCUCUGACGUUAGCGGCGGACGGGUGAGUAACACGUGGAUAACCUACCUAUAAGACUGGGAUAACUUCGGGAAACCGGAGCUAAUACCGGAUAAUAUAUUGAACUGCAUGGUUCAAUAGUGAAAGACGGUUUUGCUGUCACUUAUAGAUGGAUCCGCGCCGCAUUAGCUAGUUGGUAAGGUAACGGCUUACCAAGGCAACGAUGCGUAGCCGACCUGAGAGGGUGAUCGGCCACACUGGAACUGAGACACGGUCCAGACUCCUACGGGAGGCAGCAGUAGGGAAUCUUCCGCAAUGGGCGAAAGCCUGACGGAGCAACGCCGCGUGAGUGAUGAAGGUCUUCGGAUCGUAAAACUCUGUUAUUAGGGAAGAACAAAUGUGUAAGUAACUAUGCACGUCUUGACGGUACCUAAUCAGAAAGCCACGGCUAACUACGUG
Molecule: ribosomal RNA, 497 nt
Filed under: uncultured bacterium
Lineage: Bacteria
Description: partial 16S ribosomal RNA
Rfam family: Bacterial small subunit ribosomal RNA
Source: RNAcentral